UGGGAUCUGGUCACUUCU
RNAcentral lists this non-coding RNA (18 nucleotides) under Arabidopsis thaliana (thale cress). The record is from RNAcentral. Lineage: Eukaryota; Viridiplantae; Streptophyta; Magnoliopsida; Brassicales; Brassicaceae.